This 467-nucleotide unclassified non-coding RNA is filed under the name uncultured Bordetella sp. RNAcentral describes it as "partial 16S-23S ribosomal RNA intergenic spacer". It matches the Rfam family "Bacterial small subunit ribosomal RNA", at positions 10 to 488 of the family's 1533-position model. The record is from RNAcentral. Lineage: Bacteria; Pseudomonadati; Pseudomonadota; Betaproteobacteria; Burkholderiales; Alcaligenaceae.
AGUUUGAUCAUGGCUCAGAUUGGUGCUGGCGGGAUGCUUUACACAUGCAAGUCGAACGGCAGCACGGACUUCGGUCUGGUGGCGAGUGGCGAACGGGUGAGUAAUGUAUCGGAACGUGCCUAGUAGCGGGGGGAUAACUACGCGAAAGCGUAGCUAAUACUGCAUACGCCCUUCGAGGAAAGCGGGGGACCUUCGGGCCUCGCACUAUUAGAGCGGCCGAUAUCGGAUUAGCUAGUUGGUGGGGUAACGGCUCACCAAGGCAGCGAUCGUAGCUGGUUUGAGAGGACGACCAACCACACUGGGACUGAGACACGGCCCAGACUCCUACGGGAGGCAGCAGUGAAAUUUUGGACAAUGGAAGCCACAGUCAGCCAUCCCGCGUGUGCGAUGAAGGCCUUCCGGAUUUGUAAAGCACUUUUGGCAGGAAAGAAACGGCAUAAUACCCCAUUAUUAUUACCUGCAGAAUA